AAAAGGAGACGUGGGUCGGACAAGAUGGCGACCAGGAUGGAUGCUUUCUUUUGAGCUCCUGUAUUAUUGAAGAGUACCGGACCUUUAAGACUAUUGAAACGGACUCAGACGAAAUCAAUAAUUUAAAAUCUCUCAAGAUAAUUAAUCAGAAAUUCUAUGUGAACAUCCGCGCUGGCCUGUAUUUGGAUCCACGCAGGAGGACACUUUUGCUGGCCUCUUUGGUCCAGAGAACACACAAUGCAGCUGCAAACUACAUUAGCAUGACAGCAUGCACCACUGUGGCGAAGCUGCUUAUGGUUGAGAACAACCACAUCCCAACAGAGAGUUUGGAGGAGAAUGCUCCCUGGACCCCUUCACCAUUCUCCUGCCAUGCUUGCAAAUGAAGGCUUUUCUAGCCACAAGACGCUAUUCCUCAUUGACCUGAGGGCAACCUUAUGAUGGUUGGCACAUCAGCGAGUGUGGAAGUAAGAAGACCAGAGAAGCUUGGACCUUCAGGUGUCACCCUGCCUCUUGUUCCAGCAACCACACAGCAGCAAAACCUACACGGCCUCAUAAUUGUCGGCGGGAACAAGUUGACACCCUCUAAUUCCUCCAUCUCCGAAGCACCCAUGCGCAUGUUGUGGAGAAAACAAGCAACCAUUAUGAUCAUCACCACUGCAUCGAUCCGGGUGUUCUGCAGAUCCCGUAGGCGCCUCCACUUGCACUUCAAGAAAUAAGACAAGUUUUAGGAUCCAAAAAUACACAACCACAAUAAAAAAAUAUUCUGCAUAUCAAAUAAUGAAGUGAGACUGAAGAACAUAUGAGUGUGGAGCUAAAAUAAUUUGCAAACAUCAACCAGUGUAAAAACCAAUACAAAUGAUCAUUACAAAAUAUGAGGUAGUAAUAGCAAUAUAAAUAAUUAUUGAAUGGGACAAUAAAUACAUUUACAGACCCAUUUCAAAAAAAUUGAAUAUCAUAGAAUAGUUUAUUUCCAUAAAUUUCCAUUCAAAAAGUUAAGGUUUCAUAUGUUAUAGAUUCAGGGCCCACAAUUUAAACAAUUUCAAAUAUUUGUUUAUUUUUACAUAAUUUGGGUUUCCAGCUCUAAAACCCACAAAAUCCAUCCAUCCAUUUUCUGAGCCGCUUCUCCUCACGCGGGUCGCGGGCGUGCUGGAGCCUAUCCCAGCUAUCAUCGGGCAGGAGGCGGGGUACACCUUGAACUGGUUGCCAGCCAAUCGCAGGGCACAUACAAACAAACAACCAUUGGCACUCACAUUCACGCCUACGAGAAUGACUUGUCAAUUAACCUACUAUGCAUGUUUUGGGGAUGUGGGAAGAAACCGGAGUGCCCGGAGAAAAGCCACGCAGGCACGGGGAGAACACGCAAACUCCACACAGGCGGGGCCGGGGAUUGAACCCUGGUCCACAGAACUGUGAGGCAGACGCUCUAACCAGUCGUCCACCGUGCCGCCACAGGCCAGACUAACUUUAUGAAAAAAAUAUGAUGCAAUGAUCAAAUAAAUUUUUAUUCUUAUGUCUUA
This is a long non-coding RNA of Phyllopteryx taeniolatus (common seadragon), 1517 nucleotides long. RefSeq lists it as uncharacterized. The transcript has 4 exons. The record is from RefSeq and is a predicted model, not a curated record. NCBI's taxonomy places the organism in Eukaryota, Metazoa, Chordata, Actinopteri, Syngnathiformes, Syngnathidae.